GGACGCAUAGCUCAGCGGGAGAGCACUACGUUGACAUCGUAGGGGUCGCUGGUUCAAUCCCAGCUGCGUCCACCA
Molecule: transfer RNA, 75 nt
Filed under: Phenylobacterium sp.
Lineage: Bacteria; Pseudomonadati; Pseudomonadota; Alphaproteobacteria; Caulobacterales; Caulobacteraceae
Also listed under: 1 other name
Description: tRNA-Val
Rfam family: tRNA
About the family: Transfer RNA (tRNA) molecules are approximately 80 nucleotides in length. Their secondary structure includes four short double-helical elements and three loops (D, anti-codon, and T loops).
Source: RNAcentral